UAAAAUCCAAAAAAUCGAAUUUAUAUAGAAAAAUCGUUUUGUAAAAUACAAAAAUCGAUUUUAUGUACAAAAAUCGAUUUUAUAAAUACAAAAAAAAAUAAAAAAAUUAUUAAAAAAUUCUAAAUCAAUUCAACAAAACAAAUUAUUCAACCAAAUCACAAUUCUAAACCUAUUAUACAACCAAAUCACAAUCCUAACCAAUCACCC
This 207-nucleotide long non-coding RNA is filed under the name Brassica napus (rape). RNAcentral's name for it is "long non-coding RNA (BNAP_LNC012172)". Lineage: Eukaryota; Viridiplantae; Streptophyta; Magnoliopsida; Brassicales; Brassicaceae. The record is from RNAcentral.